This 539-nucleotide ribosomal RNA is filed under the name uncultured bacterium. RNAcentral describes it as "bacterial SSU rRNA". It matches the Rfam family "Bacterial small subunit ribosomal RNA", at positions 777 to 1319 of the family's 1533-position model. The record is from RNAcentral.
AAUAGAUACCCGGGUAGUCCACGCCGUAAACGAUGAGUGCUAAGUGUUGGGGGUUUCCGCCCCUCAGUGCUGCAGCUAACGCAUUAAGCACUCCGCCUGGGGAGUACGGUCGCAAGACUGAAACUCGAAAGGAAUUGACGGGGGCCCGCACAAGCGGUGGAGCAUGUGGUUUAAUUCGAAGCAACGCGAAGAACCUUACCAGGUCUUGACAUCCCGGUGACCACUAUGGAGACAUAGUUUCCCCUUCGGGGGCAACGGUGACAGGUGGUGCAUGGUUGUCGUCAGCUCGUGUCGUGAGAUGUUGGGUUAAGUCCCGCAACGAGCGCAACCCUUAUUCUUAGUUGCCAUCAUUCAGUUGGGCACUCUAAGGAGACUGCCGGUGAUAAACCGGAGGAAGUGGGGAUGACGUCAAAUCAUCAUGCCCCUUAUGACCUGGGCUACACACGUGCUACGAUGGACGUGCAAACGGUUGCAACCGCAGGGGGAGCUAAUCCGNUAAAACCGUUCUCAGUUCGGAUUGUAGGCUGCAACUCGCCUAC